AAACCAUGAUGAGGACAACGACGCUGCAAAUCCUUGAACCUUUCCUAAGCUUCAUACAAUGACUCGCCAGGAUCUUGGGUGAAGUUACUAUGGUGU
RNAcentral lists this small nucleolar RNA (96 nucleotides) under Beta vulgaris subsp. vulgaris (sugar beet). RNAcentral's name for it is "Plant small nucleolar RNA R71". It matches the Rfam family "Plant small nucleolar RNA R71". From Rfam's summary of the family: R71 is a member of the C/D box family of snoRNAs containing the C (UGAUGA) and D (CUGA) box motifs. The record is from Rfam by way of RNAcentral. Lineage: Eukaryota; Viridiplantae; Streptophyta; Magnoliopsida; Caryophyllales; Amaranthaceae.